RNAcentral lists this ribosomal RNA (2926 nucleotides) under Acetobacteroides hydrogenigenes. RNAcentral describes it as "partial 23S ribosomal RNA". It matches the Rfam family "Bacterial large subunit ribosomal RNA". The record is from RNAcentral. Lineage: Bacteria; Pseudomonadati; Bacteroidota; Bacteroidia; Bacteroidales; Rikenellaceae.
AAAGGAGUAAGAAAAGGGCGCACGGGGGAUGCCUUGGGUCCUAUAGGCGACGAAGGGCGUGGCAAGCUGCGAAAAGCCGCGGGGAUCGGCAAGCACGAAUCGAUCCGCGGAUACCCGAAUGGGGCAACCCACCUGGCUGAAGGCCAGGUAUCCGGAGCAAUCCGGAGGCGAACGGGGAGAACUGAAACAUCUAAGUACCCCCAGGAGAAGAAAACAAAAGUGAUUCCCCGAGUAGCGGCGAGCGAAAGGGGAUUAGCCCAAACCCAUCCGGUUACGGCCGGGUGGGGGUUGUAGGGCCUCCACAACCGACCACGAGCGAAGCUGAACCCGCUGGAAAGCGGGGCCGUAGCGGGUGACAGCCCCGUAGGCGUAGGCGAGUGGAAGGGGGAGGAACCCUGAGUAGGGCGGGGCACGUGAAACCCCGUCCGAAUCCGGCAGGACCAUCUGCCAAGGCUAAAUACUCAUAGGACACCGAUAGCGAACCAGUACCGUGAGGGAAAGGUGAAAAGUACCCCGAAUAGGGGGGUGAAAAAGACCCUGAAACCGUGCGCCUACAAGCGGUCGGAGCCCUUUAGUGGGGUGACGGCGUGCCUUUUGCAUAAUGAGCCUACGAGUUGCUCCUGUCCGGCAAGGUUAAGCGCGGAUACGCGCGGAGCCGAAGCGAAAGCGAGCCUGAAUAGGGCGAUCUAAGUCGGACGGGGCAGACGCGAAACCUUGCGAUCUACCCAUGGCCAGGAUGAAGUUCCGGUAAUACGGAAUGGAGGUCCGAACCAAUAAGCGUUGAAAAGCUUCUGGAUGAGCUGUGGGUAGGGGUGAAAGGCUAAUCAAGCUGGGAAAUAGCUCGUACUCCCCGAAAUGCCUUUAGGGGCAGCCUUGGACUUACCGCCAUGGAGGUAGAGCUACCGAUUGGAUGCGAGGGCCUCACCGCCUAUCAAAUCCUGACGAACUCCGAAUGCCGUGGUGCGAUAUCCAGGAGUGAGCCGGCGGGUGCUAAUGUCCGUCGACGAGAGGGAAAGAACCCUGACCGCCAGCUAAGGCCCCCAAGAGGCGGCUAAGUUGAUGAAACGAUGUGCGGCUGCAGCGACAGCUAGGAUGUUAGCUUGGAAGCAGCUAUUCAUUUAAAGAGUGCGUAACAGCUCACUAGUCGAGCGGCUGCGCGUGGAUAAUAAUCGGGCAUCAAGCCGUCCGCCGAAGCUGCGGAUAAGAAAUUAUGGUAGGGGAGCAUUCCGGCAGCGGUGAAGCUGGCCCGUAAGGGCUGGUGGAGCGGCCGGAAAAGCAAAUGUAGGCAUGAGUAACGACAAGGCGGGUGCGAAACCCGCCCACCGCUAGGCCAAGGUUUCCUGAUCAACGCUAAUCGGAUCAGGGUAAGGCGGGGCCUAAGGCUCACCCGAAUGGGGAUGCCGAUGGACAGCCGGUUAAUAUUCCGGCCCUGGCCCGCGCUGCGAUGGGGCGACGAAGGAGUGAAAGGACCGCCCGGCGACGGAAUGCCGGGUUGAAGGGUGUAGGUAUAGCCUGUAGGUUAACAGCCGGAGGUUGCCGAACCUGAUAGUACCGAGAGCCCACGGGCAAUCGGAUAGCGUCCCUAAUCCGACUUCCAAGAAAACCCCCUAAGCAUCAGGCGCGGGCCACCCGUACCGCAAACCGACACAGGUGGCCAAGGAGAGUAUCCUAAGGUGCUCGAGUGAAUCACGGCUAAGGAACUCGGCAAAUUAGCCCCGUAACUUCGGGAUAAGGGGCCCCCGCGUGAGCGGGGCGCAGCGAAGAGGUCCAGGCGACUGUUUACCAAAAACACAGGGCUCUGCGAAACCGAAAGGUGAAGUAUAGGGCCUGACACCUGCCCGGUGCCGGAAGGUUAAGAGGAGAGGUCAUCGCAAGAGAAGCUUUGAAUCGAAGCCCCGGUAAACGGCGGCCGUAACUAUAACGGUCCUAAGGUAGCGAAAUUCCUUGUCGGGUAAGUUCCGACCUGCACGAAUGGUGUAACGAUCUGGACGCUGUCUCAGCCGUGAGCUCGGUGAAAUUGUAGUAUCGGUGAAGAUGCCGAUUACCCGCAACGGGACGGAAAGACCCCGUGCACCUUCACUGCAGCUUAGCGCUGGUUCUGGGGUGGCGAUGUGUAGGAUAGGCUGGAGGCUGCGAAGCUCGGACGCUAGUUCGGGUGGAGCCGACGUUGAAAUACAGCCCUUCGCCACUUCGGGGCCUAAUCCCUGGUAGGGAGACACCGCUUGGCGGGUAGUUUGACUGGGGUGGUCGCCUCCAAAAGAGUAACGGAGGCUUCCCAAGGUGCCCUCAGCGCGAAUGGCAACCGCGCGUGGAGUGCAAUGGCACAAGGGCGCUUGACUGUGAGGCCGACAAGCCGAUCAGGUGCGAAAGCAGGGCAUAGUGAUCCGGUGGUUCCGCAUGGGAGGGCCAUCGCUCAAAGGAUAAAAGGUACGCCGGGGAUAACAGGCUGAUCGCCGCCAAGAGCUCACAUCGACGCGGCGGUUUGGCACCUCGAUGUCGGCUCGUCACAUCCUGGGGCUGGAGAAGGUCCCAAGGGUUCGGCUGUUCGCCGAUUAAAGUGGCACGCGAGCUGGGUUCAGAACGUCGUGAGACAGUUCGGUCCCUAUCUGUUGCGGGCGUAGGAAGUUUGAGGGGGCCUGACCCUAGUACGAGAGGACCGGGUUGGACGAGCCUCCGGUGUACCAGUUGUUCCGCCAGGAGCACCGCUGGGUAGCCGCGCUCGGUUGGGAUAAGCGCUGAAAGCAUCUAAGCGCGAAGCCUACCCCAAGAUGAGACUUCCCUUAAGGGCCGUGGGAGACUACCACGUUGAUAGGCCGCAGGUGUACGCGCUGUAAGGCGCUCAGCCGAGCGGUACUAAUUGCCCAGUAGAGCUCCGAGAGGGCCGCGCCCUUAGCGGGCAGACGCCGCUUCGUCCGAAGAAUGUCAA